GCAGCAGGGCAGAUGAUCGCUGGCCCCUUUCGGGGCUGGAGGAAAGUCCGAGCUCCACAGGGCAGGAUGGUCGCUAACGGCGACUGGGGGCAACCCUAAGGAAAGUGCCACAGAAAAGAUACCGCCCCUCCGGUUUCCGGAGGUCCUUUCGAGGAUUCGGGAUGCGUCCCGAAGGUAAGGGUGAAAAGGCGAGGUAAGAGCUCACCAGUUUCCCGGGUGACCGGGAAAGCUUGGUAAACCCCAUCCGGAGCAAGACCG
This 258-nucleotide RNase P RNA is filed under the name Syntrophaceae bacterium. Its description in RNAcentral is "partial RNase P RNA component class A". It matches the Rfam family "Bacterial RNase P class A", at positions 1 to 230 of the family's 367-position model. From Rfam's summary of the family: Ribonuclease P (RNase P) is a ubiquitous endoribonuclease, found in archaea, bacteria and eukarya as well as chloroplasts and mitochondria. Lineage: Bacteria; Pseudomonadati; Thermodesulfobacteriota; Syntrophia; Syntrophales; Syntrophaceae. The record is from RNAcentral.